Molecule: ribosomal RNA, 500 nt
Filed under: Clostridioides difficile
Lineage: Bacteria; Bacillati; Bacillota; Clostridia; Peptostreptococcales; Peptostreptococcaceae
Description: bacterial SSU rRNA
Rfam family: Bacterial small subunit ribosomal RNA
Source: RNAcentral
GUGGUUUAAUUCGAAGCAACGCGAAGAACCUUACCUAAGCUUGACAUCCCAAUGACAUCUCCUUAAUCGGAGAGUUCCCUUCGGGGACAUUGGUGACAGGUGGUGCAUGGUUGUCGUCAGCUCGUGUCGUGAGAUGUUGGGUUAAGUCCCGCAACGAGCGCAACCCUUGUCUUUAGUUGCCAUCAUUAAGUUGGGCACUCUAGAGAGACUGCCAGGGAUAACCUGGAGGAAGGUGGGGAUGACGUCAAAUCAUCAUGCCCCUUAUGCUUAGGGCUACACACGUGCUACAAUGGGUAGUACAGAGGGUUGCCAAGCCGUAAGGUGGAGCUAAUCCCUUAAAGCUACUCUCAGUUCGGAUUGUAGGCUGAAACUCGCCUACAUGAAGCUGGAGUUACUAGUAAUCGCAGAUCAGAAUGCUGCGGUGAAUGCGUUCCCGGGUCUUGUACACACCGCCCGUCACACCACGGGAGUUGGAGACGCCCGAAGCCGAUUAUCUAACC